Small nucleolar RNA from Elgaria multicarinata webbii, 100 nucleotides. RefSeq annotates it as small nucleolar RNA SNORD125. NCBI's taxonomy places the organism in Eukaryota, Metazoa, Chordata, Lepidosauria, Squamata, Anguidae. The transcript has a single exon. The record is from RefSeq and is a predicted model, not a curated record.
UAGAUAGACAGCCUCUCGUGAUGAUGCUCAGCUCCCUGAAUGGCUGAUUUGAUGAGCUCACGUAACCCUCUAAGAAGUUGACUGAAGAGGCUGAUCAGAA